AGACCGGUGUUCCGAGUGGUCGAUGGGGGCGGACUCUUAAUCCGCAUGCGAAAGCACACCGUGGGUUCAAAUCCCACCCGGUCUACCA
RNAcentral lists this transfer RNA (88 nucleotides) under Rhodobacter phage RcXuper. RNAcentral describes it as "tRNA-Lys". It matches the Rfam family "tRNA". From Rfam's summary of the family: Transfer RNA (tRNA) molecules are approximately 80 nucleotides in length. Their secondary structure includes four short double-helical elements and three loops (D, anti-codon, and T loops). Further hydrogen bonds mediate the characteristic L-shaped molecular structure. tRNAs have two regions of fundamental functional importance: the anti-codon, which is responsible for specific mRNA codon recognition, and the 3' end, to which the tRNAs corresponding amino acid is attached (by aminoacyl-tRNA synthetases). tRNAs cope with the degeneracy of the genetic code in two manners: having more than one tRNA (with a specific anti-codon) for a particular amino acid; and 'wobble' base-pairing, i.e. permitting non-standard base-pairing at the 3rd anti-codon position. The record is from RNAcentral. Lineage: Duplodnaviria; Heunggongvirae; Uroviricota; Caudoviricetes.